ACGGGAUCCAGGCUUCGGCCUGGUGAGAGUGGCGGACGGGUGAGUAACACGUGGGAACCUGCCUUUUGGUUCGGGAUAACCGCGGGAAACUGCGGCUAAUACCGGAUGCUCCCGAGAGGGGAAAGAUUUAUCGCCAGAAGAGGGGCCCGCGUCCGAUUAGGUAGUUGGUGAGGUAAUGGCUCACCAAGCCGACGAUCGGUAGCUGGUCUGAGAGGAUGAUCAGCCACACUGGGACUGAGAUACGGCCCAGACUCCUACGGGAGGCAGCAGUGGGGAAUAUUGGACAAUGGGGCAACCCUGAUCCAGCAAUGCCGCGUGAGUGAUGAAGGCCUUAGGGUUGUAAAGCUCUUUUGCCAGGGAAGAUGCUGACUGUACCUGGAGAAUAAGCCCCGGCUAACUUCGUGCCAGCAGCCGCGGUAAUACGAAGGGGGCUAGCGUUGUUCGGAAUUACUGGG
RNAcentral lists this ribosomal RNA (455 nucleotides) under uncultured bacterium. RNAcentral describes it as "bacterial SSU rRNA". It matches the Rfam family "Bacterial small subunit ribosomal RNA", at positions 66 to 558 of the family's 1533-position model. The record is from RNAcentral.